RNAcentral lists this ribosomal RNA (330 nucleotides) under Triticum aestivum (bread wheat). RNAcentral describes it as "partial small subunit ribosomal RNA". The record is from RNAcentral. Lineage: Eukaryota; Viridiplantae; Streptophyta; Magnoliopsida; Poales; Poaceae.
AUGAUAAAGCUUGUCUGCAUUUUCACAUGGAAUCUUACGUAUAAUAAUCUAUUUAUUAUUAUAUAUAUUAAACAUAUCUUUGAGAUUGCAGGGUUUGUUGCAAUCGGUUGCGAGUAUGCAUUUGCUACUGCUGCCUCAGCCUCCAUUCACGGUGCCCUUGCUCCUCAAACAACCCCGGUAGCACAUCUCUCUUGCACAUACAGGAACAUGUGGGCCUGCAGAUAUCUUACUCGGAUGUGUUAUGAUGUACUAUUCAAUUCAGGCUGGUACACCACUGCCUCACUUGACAAUAUACGUGGAGAAUAUCCACAAAGCUAUGCAUGGAAGUGA